CCUAGCCUAGUGGACAUGGCAUCUUCCCGGUAAGCGGAACACUGUGGGUUCGAUUCCCAUCCCUGGA
Molecule: transfer RNA, 67 nt
Filed under: Cordylochernes scorpioides
Lineage: Eukaryota; Metazoa; Arthropoda; Arachnida; Pseudoscorpiones; Chernetidae
Description: tRNA-Thr
Source: RNAcentral